GACGAACGCUGGCGGCGUGCCUAAUACAUGCAAGUUGAGCGCUGAAGGUUGGUACUUGUACCAACUGGAUGAGCAGCGAACGGGUGAGUAACGCGUGGGGAAUCUGCCUUUGAGCGGGGGACAACAUUUGGAAACGAAUGCUAAGACCGCAUAAAAACUUUAAACACAAGUUUUAAGUUUGAAAGAUGCAAUUGCAUCACUCAAAGAUGAUCCCGCGUUGUAUUAGCUAGUUGGUGAGGUAAAGGCUCACCAAGGCGAUGAUACAUAGCCGACCUGAGAGGGUGAUCGGACACAUUGGGACUGAGACACGGCCCAAACUACUACGGGAGGCAGCAGUAGGGAAUCUUCGGCAAUGGAAGAAAGUCUGACCGAGCAACGCCGCGUGAGUGAAGAAGGUUUUCGGAUCGUAAAACUCUGUUGGUAGAGAAGAACGUUGGUGAGAGUGGAAAGCUCAUCAAGUGACGGUAACUACCCAGAAAGGGACGGCUAACUACGUG
Molecule: ribosomal RNA, 497 nt
Filed under: uncultured bacterium
Lineage: Bacteria
Description: partial 16S ribosomal RNA
Rfam family: Bacterial small subunit ribosomal RNA
Source: RNAcentral